GGUAGGCUUGACAUAUUGUGUAUCUGUGUGGACUCGGCAGUCUGUGUGUGGGUAUGAACUGCUGAGUCAAUAAACAAACACACACAUAAUACCCACAGAUUCCAGGAACUAGAGGAAUCAGAGGCAGUGGAGUGGUGACUGAAGUCUCAAUCUGAGACAUUUAACAUGUUUAAUUGGUGGCAUGAAAAAGGGCUAAUGGAAUAUGUGCA
Non-coding RNA from Pelobates cultripes (western spadefoot toad), 209 nucleotides. NCBI's taxonomy places the organism in Eukaryota, Metazoa, Chordata, Amphibia, Anura, Pelobatidae. The record is from the annotation of a GenBank genome assembly.